RNAcentral lists this unclassified non-coding RNA (1268 nucleotides) under Hevea brasiliensis (rubber tree). The record is from RNAcentral. Lineage: Eukaryota; Viridiplantae; Streptophyta; Magnoliopsida; Malpighiales; Euphorbiaceae.
GUGUUCUUUUGGAACAAAAGCUGCGGGAAUUAACAAAUAAAGUUGAAUCAUCUCAUUGUAACAUAAUCAGAGACGAGACUUCUGCUAGUUCUACAUCAAGUUUGCAGAAUUUCAUGUCCACAUUUAACGUGGUUAGCACCAUACCUGCCGUACAUGACAAGAGGAUUCAAUUUGUAGAAAAAGACAAGUCAGACCACCCACAUAACUUUGAUUGCUUUUCUGUGGAGUGUCCAAAGCUUACCAGGAACCAAAUGUGGCAGGUCCGUCUCUUAUGUGUUUAUGAUCGUAUUUUGCAGCAUUCUUUCUGGGUGUUAUGUAAUUCAUAUUGUUCCCUUCUUGGUAUUCAAUAUGUUUGAGUGCUAAAGCAACUUUUGAUGUAUUUUCAAAACCUAAAAACUAGUGAUUAGGUAUCAAGGUAAUUGUUUCCCCAGUGAGGAAAAUAAUAGUAUACAUCGAGGACUGUAAAAACUUGAACUUCUACUAGAGGCCAAAAAUGGUGCCAUCAUUCUUAACCAGUCUAAGAGGCAAGUGCAUUUUCCCUUCUGUUAAUUGUUUUUCUAGUGUUGUUGUUAUCCACUGUGUUUGUCAAUGGAAUUGAUUAUGUUAUGCUUCCACUGUAUCAUCUACUAUGUACCAGUUUAGACAUAAAUGAUAAACUUGGAGGAAUACAUGUUUUUACUGUUACCAAUAUGGUUCACAAUAUUUCAAACUCUGUUGAAACUAGCGCUGGUUCUUCUAUUGUAGUGGUGUUGAUCUAUUUCCUGGUAAUCUUGGUACAUUAUCUGUUUUAAGGAUAAGAGUUGGUGGCUUUAGUGAGUUGAGUGCAACAGUAGCAGAAGUUAUGGCCUAGUAUUUGCUGAAUUCCAUUUGUUUAUAGUCCUACAGAGUGGAUUCCAGAUUAUAAUUAGCUGGUACAGGUGCAAGUCCUUUUUAAUUAGGAUGAGCUUAAAAAGUUGUAGCUUGUACAGAAAUUUUUGUUGCUGGUUUUUUUAUAUCUUUAAAUUAUUGGCUUGCACUAAAUAAUGAUAUAAUUAUGUAACAGAAUCUUAUAGCACGAAUGAAAUAGUCGUGAUGCUAACUUGAUUUGAAAUUUCUGAUGAAAUGUAAUUAGUUUGUCUUUGACAGUUUGACAUCAUAAUUUAAUUGGCGCUAAUUUCUUAUGAACCUUUUCAGGAAUCUGAAGAAAUGGAAGAGCACAGCUGUAGCAGCAAUUGCAGCUUCACUGAAAUAGACCUUGAAUGUCGACAUCCUAGUCCAGUUUCAAUUCU